GGGGGGAGCGAACGUUGUUCGGAAUUACUGGGCGUAAAGGGCGCGUAGGCGGCCUCAUAAGUGAGAUGUGAAAGCUCCUGGCUCAACCAGGGAAAUGCGUCUCAUACUGUGAGGCUUGAGUGCAGGAGAGGAUGGGGGAAUUCCCGGUGUAGCGGUGAAAUGCAUUGAUAUCGGGAGGAACACCAGUGGCGAAGGCGCCCAUCUGGUCUGCUACUGACGCUGAGGCGCGAAAGCUGGGGGAGCAAACAGGAUUAGAUACCCUGGUAGUCCCAGCUGUAAACGGUGGGCACUAGGUGUGGGGGGCAUCGACCCCUCCCGUGCCGCAGCUAACGCAUUAAGUGCCCCGCCUGGGGAGUACGACCGCAAGGUUG
RNAcentral lists this ribosomal RNA (371 nucleotides) under uncultured bacterium. RNAcentral's name for it is "bacterial SSU rRNA". It matches the Rfam family "Bacterial small subunit ribosomal RNA", at positions 527 to 896 of the family's 1533-position model. The record is from RNAcentral.